GACGAACGCUGGCGGCGUGCUUAACACAUGCAAGUCGAACGGAAAGGCCCCUUUUGGGGUACUCGAGUGGCGAACGGGUGAGUAACACGUGAGUAACCUGCCCUUGACUUCGGGAUAACUUCAGGAAACUGGGGCUAAUACCGGAUAGGAAUCCUUGCGGCAUGGUGGGGGUUGGAAAGCUUCGGCGGUUUUGGAUGGACUCGCGGCUUAUCAGCUUGUUGGUGGGGUAGUGGCUUACCAAGGCUUUGACCGGUAGCCGGCCUGAGAGGGCGACCGGCCACAUUGGGACUGAGAUACGGCACAGACUCCGACGGGAGGCAGCAGUGGGGAAUAUUGCACAAUGGGCGGAGGCCUGAUGCAGCAACGCCGCGUGCGGGAUGACGGCCUUCGGGUUGUAAACCGCUUUCAGCAGGGGAGAAGCUUGUGGUGACGGUACCUGCAGAAGAAGCACCGGCUAACUACGUG
RNAcentral lists this ribosomal RNA (465 nucleotides) under uncultured bacterium. RNAcentral's name for it is "partial 16S ribosomal RNA". It matches the Rfam family "Bacterial small subunit ribosomal RNA", at positions 28 to 507 of the family's 1533-position model. The record is from RNAcentral.